RNAcentral lists this ribosomal RNA (1520 nucleotides) under metagenome. Its description in RNAcentral is "bacterial SSU rRNA". It matches the Rfam family "Bacterial small subunit ribosomal RNA". The record is from RNAcentral.
AGAGUUUGAUCAUGGCUCAGAUUGAACGCUGGCGGCAGGCCUAACACAUGCAAGUCGAACGGUAACAGGAAGAAGCUUGCUUCUUUGCUGACGAGUGGCGGACGGGUGAGUAAUGUCUGGGAAACUGCCUGAUGGAGGGGGAUAACUACUGGAAACGGUAGCUAAUACCGCAUAACGUCGCAAGACCAAAGAGGGGGACCUUCGGGCCUCUUGCCAUCGGAUGUGCCCAGAUGGGAUUAGCUAGUAGGUGGGGUAACGGCUCACCUAGGCGACGAUCCCUAGCUGGUCUGAGAGAAUGACCAGCCACACUGGAACUGAGACACGGUCCAGACUCCUACGAGGCAGCAGUGGGGAAUAUUGCACAAUGGGCGCAAGCCUGAUGCAGCCAUGCCGCGUGUAUGAAGAAGGCCUUCGGGUUGUAAAGUACUUUCAGCGGGGAGGAAGGGAGUAAAGUUAAUACCUUUGCUCAUUGACGUUACCCGCAGAAGAAGCACCGGCUAACUCCGUGCCAGCAGCCGCGGUAAUACGGAGGGUGCAAGCGUUAAUCGGAAUUACUGGGCGUAAAGCGCACGCAGGCGGUUUGUUAAGUCAGAUGUGAAAUCCCCGGGCUCAACCUGGGAACUGCAUCUGAUACUGGCAAGCUUGAGUCUCGUAGAGGGGGGUAGAAUUCCAGGUGUAGCGGUGAAAUGCGUAGAGAUCUGGAGGAAUACCGGUGGCGAAGGCGGCCCCCUGGACGAAGACUGACGCUCAGGUGCGAAAGCGUGGGGAGCAAACAGGAUUAGAUACCCUGGUAGUCCACGCCGUAAACGAUGUCGACUUGGAGGUUGUGCCCUUGAGGCGUGGCUUCCGGAGCUAACGCGUUAAGUCGACCGCCUGGGGAGUACGGCCGCAAGGUUAAAACUCAAAUGAAUUGACGCGGGCCCGCACAAGCGGUGGAGCAUGUGGUUUAAUUCGAUGCAACGCGAAGAACCUUACCUGGUCUUGACAUCCACGGAAGUUUUCAGAGAUGAGAAUGUGCCUUCGGGAACCGUGAGACAGGUGCUGCAUGGCUGUCGUCAGCUCGUGUUGUGAAAUGUUGGGUUAAGUCCCGCAACGAGCGCAACCCUUAUCCUUUGUUGCCAGCGGUCCGGCCGGGAACUCAAAGGAGACUGCCAGUGAUAAACUGGAGGAAGGUGGGGAUGACGUCAAGUCAUCAUGGCCCUUACGACCAGGGCUACACACGUGCUACAAUGGCGCAUACAAAGAGAAGCGACCUCGCUAGAGCAAGCGGACCUCAUAAAGUGCGUCGUAGUCCGGAUUGGAGUCUGCAACUCGACUCCAUGAAGUCGGAAUCGCUAGUAAUCGUGGAUCAGAAUGCCACGGUGAAUACGUUCCCGGGCCUUGUACACACCGCCCGUCACACCAUGGGAGUGGGUUGCAAAAGAAGUAGGUAGCUUAACCUUCGGGAGGGCGCUUACCACUUUGUGAUUCAUGACUGGGGUGGAGUCGUAACAAGGUAACCGUAGGGGAACCUGCGGUUG